RNAcentral lists this long non-coding RNA (219 nucleotides) under Hordeum vulgare. RNAcentral describes it as "long non-coding RNA (HVUL_LNC015543)". The record is from RNAcentral. Lineage: Eukaryota; Viridiplantae; Streptophyta; Magnoliopsida; Poales; Poaceae.
UUGAGGUUAUUAUGUCAUUUUGGAGAUAAAGUAGCUAAUUAUUUCAUGUUGGAGCUAAAUUAGCUAAUUAUGUCAUUUAGGAGGAUAAUUAGCUAAGUAUGUCUUUGUUGGUAAAAUAAGCUAAGGAGAAGAAGAAACAGGAGAAGGAGAAGAAGAAGGAGGAGGAGGAGGAGGAGGAGAAGGAGGAGGAGGAGGAGAAGAAGAAGAAGGAGAAGAAGA